This 286-nucleotide ribosomal RNA is filed under the name Klebsiella pneumoniae. Its description in RNAcentral is "partial 23S ribosomal RNA". It matches the Rfam family "Bacterial large subunit ribosomal RNA", at positions 1630 to 1898 of the family's 2925-position model. Lineage: Bacteria; Pseudomonadati; Pseudomonadota; Gammaproteobacteria; Enterobacterales; Enterobacteriaceae. The record is from RNAcentral.
GGUAACAUCAAAUCGUACCCCAAACCGACACAGGUGGUCAGGUAGAGAAUACCAAGGCGCUUGAGAGAACUCGGGUGAAGGAACUAGGCAAAAUGGUGCCGUAACUUCGGGAGAAGGCACGCUGGUGUGUAGGUGAAGCCCCUGCGGGUGGAGCUGAGACCAGUCGAAGAUACCAGCUGGCUGCAACUGUUUAUUAAAAACACAGCACUGUGCAAACACGAAAGUGGACGUAUACGGUGUGACGCCUGCCCGGUGCCGGAAGGUUAAUUGAUGGGGUUAUCCGUAA